This 117-nucleotide ribosomal RNA is filed under the name Bacteroidales bacterium. The record is from RNAcentral. Lineage: Bacteria; Pseudomonadati; Bacteroidota; Bacteroidia; Bacteroidales.
UUGCGUGACGAUAGCGGAAGGGGUACACCUGUUCCCAUACCGAACACAGAAGUUAAGCCUUCCAGCGUCGAAAGUACUUGGCUGGUGACGGCCCGGGAGGAUAGAUCGCCGCGCAAU